GACGAACGCUGGCGGCGUGCUUAACACAUGCAAGUCGAACGGAAAGGCCCUGCUUUUGUGGGGUGCUCGAGUGGCGAACGGGUGAGUAACACGUGAGUAACCUGCCCUUGACUUUGGGAUAACUUCAGGAAACUGGGGCUAAUACCGGAUAGGAGCUCCUGCUGCAUGGUGGGGGUUGGAAAGUUUCGGCGGUUGGGGAUGGACUCGCGGCUUAUCAGCUUGUUGGUGGGGUAGUGGCUUACCAAGGCUUUGACGGGUAGCCGGCCUGAGAGGGUGACCGGCCACAUUGGGACUGAGAUACGGCCCAGACUCGUACGGGAGGCAGCAGUGGGGAAUAUUGCACAAUGGGCGGAAGCCUGAUGCAGCAACGCCGCGUGCGGGAUGACGGCCUUCGGGUUGUAAACCGCUUUCGCCUGUGACGAAGCGUGAGUGACGGUAAUGGGGAAAGAAGCACCGGCGAACUACGU
Molecule: ribosomal RNA, 467 nt
Filed under: uncultured bacterium
Lineage: Bacteria
Description: partial 16S ribosomal RNA
Rfam family: Bacterial small subunit ribosomal RNA
Source: RNAcentral